GAGUUUGAUCGUGGCUCAGGACGAACGCUGGCGGCGUGCCUAACACAUGCAAGUCGAACGAGUCCACUCUUUCGGGAGUGAGGCGAGUGGCGGACGGGUGAGUAACACGUGAGCAAUCUGUCCCUGUGUGGGGGACAACCCGGGGAAACCCGGGCUAAUACCGCAUGGGCAGAAGCUUCUUUGGGAGUUUCUGGGAAAGAGGCCCUCUUUACAAUGGUCUCAUGCAGGGAGGAGCUCGCGGGCUAUCAGCUAGUUGGUAGUGGUAACGGCCUACCAAGGCGACGACGGCUACGGGGUCUGAGAGGACGACCCCGCACAUUGGAACUGAGACACGGUCCAGACUCCUACGGGAGGCAGCAGUGGGGAAUUUUGGGCAAUGGCCGCAAGGCUGACCCAGCGACGCCGCGUGCGGGAUGACGCCUCUCGGGGUGUAAACCGCUGUCAGAGGGGAAGAAUGAAUGCACGUGUAAAAUAAUAGCGUGCAAUGUGACGGUACCCUC
Molecule: ribosomal RNA, 500 nt
Filed under: uncultured bacterium
Lineage: Bacteria
Description: bacterial SSU rRNA
Rfam family: Bacterial small subunit ribosomal RNA
Source: RNAcentral